CCUACGGGUGGCAGCAGUGAGGAAUAUUGGUCAAUGGACGAGAGUCUGAACCAGCCAAGUAGCGUGAAGGAUGACUGCCCUAUGGGUUGUAAACUUCUUUUAUAAAGGAAUAAAACGAGGCACGUGUGCCUUUUUGCAGGUACUUUAUGAAUAAGGAUCGGCUAACUCCGGGCCAGCAGCCGCGGUUAUUCGGAGGGUCCGAGCGUUAACCGGAUUGAGUGGGUUGAAAGGGAGCGUAGAUGGGUAGUUAAGUCAGUUGUGAAAGUUUGCGGCUCAACCGUAAAAUUGCAAUUGAUACUGGCAGGCUUGAGUACGGGUGAGGUAGGCGGAAUUCGUGGUGUAGCGGUGAAAUGCGGAGAUAUCACGAAGAACCCCGAUUGCGAAGGCAGCUUACUAGACUGUGACUGACAUUGAUGCUCGAAAGUGUGGGUAUCAAACAGGAUUAGAUACCCGGGUAGUC
Molecule: ribosomal RNA, 460 nt
Filed under: uncultured bacterium
Lineage: Bacteria
Description: partial 16S ribosomal RNA
Rfam family: Bacterial small subunit ribosomal RNA
Source: RNAcentral